This 253-nucleotide ribosomal RNA is filed under the name uncultured bacterium. RNAcentral's name for it is "partial 16S ribosomal RNA". It matches the Rfam family "Bacterial small subunit ribosomal RNA", at positions 524 to 776 of the family's 1533-position model. The record is from RNAcentral.
GACGUAGGGGGCGAGCGUUGUCCGGAUUUAUUGGGCGUAAAGAGCGCGUAGGCGGCUCGGAAAGUCGGUUGUGAAAACCCGGGGCUCAACCCCGGGCCUGCAGCCGAUACGGGCAGGCUAGAGUUCGGUAGGGGAGACUGGAAUUCCUGGUGUAGCGGUGAAAUGCGCAGAUAUCAGGAGGAACACCGGUGGCGAAGGCGGGUCUCUGGGCCGAUACUGACGCUGAGGAGCGAAAGCGUGGGGAGCGAACAGG